Molecule: ribosomal RNA, 275 nt
Filed under: uncultured prokaryote
Description: partial 16S ribosomal RNA
Rfam family: Bacterial small subunit ribosomal RNA
Source: RNAcentral
UACGUAGGGUGCGAGCGUUGUCCGGAUUUACUGGGUGUAAAGGGAGCGUAGACGGCAUUGCAAGUCUGAUGUGAAAACCCGGGGCUCAACCGCGGGAUUGCAUUGGAAACUGCAGAGCUUGAGUACUGGAGGGGCAGGCGGAAUUCCUAGUGUAUCGGUGAAAUGCGUAGAUAUUAGGAGGAACACCGGUGGCGAAGGCGGCCUGCUGGACAGUAACUGACGUUGAGGCUCGAAAGCGUGGGGAGCAAACAGGAUUAGAUACCCCCGUAGUCCCU